UAUCUCAUAUAAAACAAAGAAAAGACUUCCAAGCCUUCAAUGUUCUAAGUUGCCAUGGCAGCAGCACCACCACUCUUGGCUCUUUGAGUAGUAGGACUGUAGGGGAAGAAAGGCCUGACACUAGCAGGCAGAAUGCCAAGGGGCUGGGAGAGGUUACUGAAGCAUUUUAUUACUGACACUGAAGAAAUGAUUAUAGAUCAUGAAGCAGGAGAACCUACCAUACCGUGGCAAUGAGAUUCAUUGGUUUCCAGAGAGUUGCAUUUUGACUUUUAAAAGGAGAUUUUAAAAAAUGAUAGUCAAAUUGCACUUCAAUGGAUUAAAAAAAAUAACCAUUUUAAAAGCAGAAGGGUAGAAGCUGCUAGAGAGUGUAUUCAAAUCCAUGCUUCUUAGCAACCAGACCAGAUUUCAUCCAUAAAAGAAAGCCAGAGGUACAAUAAGAAAAGCCUCUUUGGUUCUCUAGAGAAUAUAAAGGCAUAUUAGAAAAAAAGAAGCACUUUGAGAUCUGUGGAUAAAAGGCACUAUAUGGGCAUAAAGUAUAUUACAAAAAGAGAAGGACAAGGAAGAAAUGAUGUCUAGACUGGGCAGGUUAUCUUGGGAUUGGAUAUUGUUUCAGGUGCAAUGCUUCCUCACGGGAGCUCCCAAGUUGCAAUACAUUCCCACCAGUGCUCCCCAUGCUGACCAAAGGAAAACAACAGCAAAGAUUUUGAGGAAAGAAUGCAAACAGAACUAAAGACAGUUGGCAUAACAUUUAUAAAAAUGUUCUACGAGCAUAUACGUAAUAAAAUCCAUCAUUCAACA
Molecule: long non-coding RNA, 798 nt
Organism: Gorilla gorilla gorilla (western lowland gorilla)
Lineage: Eukaryota; Metazoa; Chordata; Mammalia; Primates; Hominidae
Exons: 2
Source: RefSeq, a predicted model, not a curated record